ACACGUCAUUUUCACAUUGAAAGGAGCAACCAAACUCGAGAAGGUUCAUUCGAUUCCUUCUCUCCAUUUUUAUCCCUCCGUUUCUUAUUCUCUAUUCUGAUCUUUCUCUCUAUUUUUAUGGCUUUGUAUCUAUUUUAUAGGCAUUAUUUCACACGCGCCAUUUUCAACCGAAAGCAGCAACCAAAAUCACUCGAGAAGGUUCAUUCCAUUUGCUUCUCUCUAUUCUUAUUGCUUUGUUUCUUAUUCUCUAUUCUGAUAUGUAUUUCAUUGUAUGCCUGUGUAUAUUCCUUCUCCCCAUUCUAAUCACUUUAUUUUUUCGCUUCUAUUUUCUUUAUGUUUUUCAUUCUUUGCUUCUGUAUAUUCAUAUUCUCUGUUCUUAUUGCUUUGUUUCUUAUUUUUUCUAUUAUUGAAAGAAUAAAAAAGAGCUGAUGUAGAUUAAUUUUCACUGUCUCUUUACAUUCACUACCAUGGCUUGUAUAUACAUCUACCUCCUAUACAUAUACAAAGUGUAUGUAUAAUAUUCCUAGACAAGGUAUAUUGUUUACUAUGUGAUCUCAUACUCACUUUAGUGUAUUUGCACUAAUACAAAUGUGAGCAUA
RNAcentral lists this long non-coding RNA (599 nucleotides) under Nicotiana tabacum (common tobacco). RNAcentral's name for it is "long non-coding RNA (NTAB_LNC015486)". The record is from RNAcentral. Lineage: Eukaryota; Viridiplantae; Streptophyta; Magnoliopsida; Solanales; Solanaceae.